This is a long non-coding RNA of Apis mellifera (honey bee), 416 nucleotides long. RefSeq lists it as uncharacterized. NCBI's taxonomy places the organism in Eukaryota, Metazoa, Arthropoda, Insecta, Hymenoptera, Apidae. The transcript is spliced from 2 exons. The record is from RefSeq and is a predicted model, not a curated record.
GGAAAUGAAACAAAAAAUGUUUAAAAAUUUUAUCCGUUUCCAGGAAUACCUGUUGUGCAGGAAUCUCUUGCAUUUUUCUAGGAUUGUUGAUCAUUUUGCAGAGUUAUAAAAAAAAAAUUGAAAUUCAAUUUUGCCAGUUCUAUUAAUAUUACGGAUCGAAGUAUAUGGUUCCUUCGAAAUAUAUUACACGAUGUCCCAGGAGAGAGAGAGGAUGCUUUUGUUUCGAGAGCUACGUGAGUCGAUAUCAAGGGACAACCUCAAUCAUUGUUAUACUCGUAUAUGCCAUCGGUAACAAGUUUCAUCUGCUAAAACUUGUGCGGAAAAUACAUAUAUAUAGAAUGAAUCGAUCGAUUGUCGAUAUUUCGAAAUAAGCUCCUGUAAUAUCUUCGUUUCGAAACCCAAGAUAAAUACGAAAA